Molecule: long non-coding RNA, 217 nt
Organism: Sphaeramia orbicularis (orbiculate cardinalfish)
Lineage: Eukaryota; Metazoa; Chordata; Actinopteri; Kurtiformes; Apogonidae
Exons: 3
Source: RefSeq, a predicted model, not a curated record
UUUUAGCUAAAAAUCAAAACUUCCAGUGGUUUCAUGUGCAGAUGAAUGCGUCUAGUUCUCUAAAAGCAGCUGGAGCUUCACCUCUUCUCUAACCCACAGUAUUUACAGCGCCGGGCCACCUCGUCCGGGUCGAUGAGCUUGAACUCGCCGUUGGUUCCUUCCCAGGCGAUGCACGACAUGUUGGUGCUGUCCGAGAGGAGCUCCAGGAGGAACUGCC